Molecule: ribosomal RNA, 253 nt
Filed under: uncultured bacterium
Lineage: Bacteria
Description: partial 16S ribosomal RNA
Rfam family: Bacterial small subunit ribosomal RNA
Source: RNAcentral
UACGGAGGGUGCAAGCGUUAUCCGGAUUCACUGGGUUUAAAGGGUGCGUAGGCGGGCAGGUAAGUCAGUGGUGAAAUCUCCGGGCUUAACCCGGAAACUGCCGUUGAUACUAUCUGUCUUGAAUAUCGUGGAGGUAAGCGGAAUAUGUCAUGUAGCGGUGAAAUGCUUAGAUAUGACAUAGAGCACCCAUUGCGAAGGCAGCUUACUACACGAUCAUUGACGCUGAGGCACGAAAGCGUGGGGAGCAAACAGG